This 1051-nucleotide long non-coding RNA is filed under the name Coturnix japonica (Japanese quail). RNAcentral's name for it is "lncRNA (ENSCJPG00005005724.1)". Lineage: Eukaryota; Metazoa; Chordata; Aves; Galliformes; Phasianidae. The record is from RNAcentral.
GUACCCUAUGGGAAUUGCUUGUUUUUCCUGUGACUACAUACAGCCCUCCCUAAACAAAGCUUCUUACUGCAGUUAUUGGGGGGGGGGGGGGGGAAGGCAUUUCAUUUAAAGCAAUGUAAAUUUUAGUGCAGUGGUUUGGCUUAGUUUUGCUUUAUUUCUAUGAAUAAUCAAACUGCUGAAGUAUUUGAAAGCCCUUGAAGUAAUGGUUCAAGACAGCUAGUAAUUGGUGGGUGGUAGACAGAAUUUCUUUUUCCUGCCCAAGUCUCCCUACUAAUUGUUUCUGCCUCUUGUCAUCUGUGUUGUUUUAUCAAUUAGCAGUUGUGGACUAAUUAAAUAAGACAUGCCUUGGUUUGCUAGGUAAGGUGGUUUACUUAGUAGCUAUGGAAGUCUCUAUAUAGCCUAGUUUUCAUCUCCCAAAUCCAGUAUGCAGUGUUCUGAUGUUUCCAGUGUUUGGAGCAGCUGUUGAUUCUAAACAGGACCUGUUACCCAGCCCAGCUGUAUGCAUGCCUAAGUAGGACUACAUUGACCUUUGCGCUCAGAGGUCAUUCCUGAUCCAGCUUACACAGACCUUCCAUGUUCCCUGUCUACAGACCAUGAGCUCCCUCAGGUUCAAGGCAGCAAGACUCACGAUCCUGUUCACAGAAUGUGCCUGUUUUGCAGUCAUGGAGACACCCAGCCAGGUCCAAGCUGGUCUGCAUUGAUUUGAACAGAAGGUAGCGCUGGAACUGCUCUACUACCUGGAAGACCUCUGAGUUCUGGUUAAGUUCAUUUUGAUCCUGGUCGUAUCUUAAAGUGUACUUGCACACAGCUUGAGCCUGCCUGGAUGCUGUUCUUCAGUCAUUUCUCUCUUCUGCCCCAAUUUGUAUUCCUGCCCUCCAGCAUCACGUUGGUCAGAAUCCUCUCAUUCUCCUGCACAGAGGCCAGAUGGAAGCGUGCUCCUUCAUCACUGCUUGUUUUGCAUAAUGUGGGAAUUGGAACUACAUUGGACAGCAUAAAUAAGUUUGGCCACUGGGAAUACAGUACAGGGGUGGGAACACAAUCCCAUAAUUGA